UACGAAGGGGGCUAGCGUUGUUCGGAAUUACUGGGCGUAAAGCGCACGCAGGCGGAUCGAUAAGUCAGGGGUGAAAUCCCGGGGCUCAACCUCGGAAUUGCCUUUGAUACUGUCGAUCUCGAGUCCGGGAGAGGUGAGUGGAAUUCCUAGUGUAGAGGUGAAAUUCGUAGAUAUUAGGAAGAACACCAGUGGCGAAGGCGGCUCACUGGGUCUUUUCUGACGCUGAGGGACGAAAGCUAGGGGAGCGAACGGG
RNAcentral lists this ribosomal RNA (253 nucleotides) under uncultured bacterium. RNAcentral's name for it is "partial 16S ribosomal RNA". It matches the Rfam family "Bacterial small subunit ribosomal RNA", at positions 524 to 776 of the family's 1533-position model. The record is from RNAcentral.